RNAcentral lists this transfer RNA (76 nucleotides) under Streptomyces sp. Its description in RNAcentral is "tRNA-Lys". It matches the Rfam family "tRNA". Rfam says of the family: Transfer RNA (tRNA) molecules are approximately 80 nucleotides in length. Their secondary structure includes four short double-helical elements and three loops (D, anti-codon, and T loops). The record is from RNAcentral. RNAcentral also lists the same sequence under 83 other names. Lineage: Bacteria; Bacillati; Actinomycetota; Actinomycetes; Kitasatosporales; Streptomycetaceae.
GGGUCGCUAGCUCAAUUGGCAGAGCUCCGGACUUUUAAUCCGUAGGUUGUGGGUUCGAGUCCCACGCGACCCACCA